Sapajus apella (tufted capuchin) is the source of this 177-nucleotide long non-coding RNA. RefSeq lists it as uncharacterized. The transcript is spliced from 2 exons. NCBI's taxonomy places the organism in Eukaryota, Metazoa, Chordata, Mammalia, Primates, Cebidae. The record is from RefSeq and is a predicted model, not a curated record.
AGCGGUAGAGUGGACAAUCCCUUCUGACACUCAAGCCAGGACUGAUACAGAAGGAAAACCUUUGGAACAGGAAAAGAAGAGCCUCUUUUGACAAAGCAAAGGAGGACCGAAGAGUUCCAUGCUCGAGGGCUGCGUCUGGGGCUUUCUGGCAUUAAAGGAGCUGAUGGUGAAUUUUCA